GACGAACGCUGGCGGCGUGCUUAACACAUGCAAGUCGAACGGAAAGGCCCUGCUUUUGUGGGGUGCUCGAGUGGCGAACGGGUGAGUAACACGUGAGUAACCUGCCCUUGACUCUGGGAUAACUUCAGGAAACUGGGGCUAAUACCGGAUAGGAGCUCCUGCUGCAUGGUGGGGGUUGGAAAGUUUCGGCGGUUGGGGAUGGACUCGCGGCUUAUCAGCUUGUUGGUGGGGUAGUGGCUUACCAAGGCUUUGACGGGUAGCCGGCCUGAGGGGGUGACCGGCCACAUUGGGACUGAGAUACGGCCCAGACUCCUACGGGAGGCAGCAGUGGGGAAUAUUGCACAAUGGGCGGAAGCCUGAUGCAGCAACGCCGCGUGCGGGAUGACGGCCUUCGGGUUGUAAACCGCUUUCGCCUGUGACGAAGCGUGAGUGACGGUAAUUGGUAAAGAAGCACCGGCUAACUACGUG
Molecule: ribosomal RNA, 468 nt
Filed under: uncultured bacterium
Lineage: Bacteria
Description: partial 16S ribosomal RNA
Rfam family: Bacterial small subunit ribosomal RNA
Source: RNAcentral